UUCUGUAAUGCUACUGGUGUCCCCUAAUUUUAUUAUAGCCACAGUUCCUUUCGCCUGAGCUCAUUACAGAGACAAAUAUCCAUU
This 84-nucleotide small RNA is filed under the name Pongo abelii (Sumatran orangutan). The record is from RNAcentral. Lineage: Eukaryota; Metazoa; Chordata; Mammalia; Primates; Hominidae.